CCUGCGUAUAGGUAUAGGUGGACUGGGCUCAGCUGUUGUUGGUUGUUUCAAUGGAAUAUCAGGUACUGCAUUUGGAGUUUUGGCUUCAUGGUAGGACAUCCCUCGAGAUUCUUCUUAACUUCUGGGUCACGAUCGUAACAAACAUUUGUAAAGUGGGCGGAACAAAGUCUAUGACUAGUGCUUGGUAGGAAGUCCUAUCUCUUCCUGGGUUAGAUGAUGAUCUACCGCGAGAAACGAAAAAAAA
This 244-nucleotide long non-coding RNA is filed under the name Mytilus galloprovincialis (Mediterranean mussel). Lineage: Eukaryota; Metazoa; Mollusca; Bivalvia; Mytilida; Mytilidae. The record is from RNAcentral.